CACACACACACAGUCAGUCAGUCUUGCUCUGGCCGCCACACAGGCUACAUGUACCGGGAGCUCCGCGCGGCCUUAACACAGUCGACACUCUCCCUCACUCUCACUGGGGCUCUCACUCUCACGGUGUCACUCAUUCUCGGCGCUCACUCUACUACCCGUGCGGCGACUUCCCUUCCUCGUCACUGUCCUCUCCCUCACGGCUACUACUACUACUAGACUACUUCCCUACCUGACUAACCUCUCUGUCAGGUCUCCGUGUGUGAGGACGGCGUCAAAUUUAUUUUGUUUUUUUAGAAGGUGAAAAAAACUGUAGAGCAAUUUUGCCAGAUUGUUGUUUUUUCAUUAUUAUAUAUUUUUUUCCUAGCCUCUAUACUACACACCAGUUGUACUUCCCCCCUCGUUCAAUGUUCUCAGAGUCGAAUGAGCUGUGAUCAGGGGAAACUAACCCGAGUGUCCAUCAUCACCCUCAUGAAAGUGUCUUAAGAACAGAAACAAAGAUAUACAAAAUUUGUUGAUAUAUUCCUCCCUUAUUGCGCCAACCACAAGUGUUACCUGUAAAAAAAAAAAAAAAAAAAAAAAAAAAACAUUUUGAAAGUGAUCUGAAGAAUUCAAUCAGAUUAUUUUUUGGCAUUUAAGAUCCCAAAUUUGAGAUCUAUGUGACCCAGGCUUAAAACUACGAUACUUGUCUCUUUAUCUCUGUCUCUCUCUGUCUCUCUCCUUCUCUCACUCCUCCCUAUUAUCAUCUCUCAUUAUCCACAAUACCCCUUUUAUUUCUCUCAGUCAUUCUUUCUCUCCUAACUCCACCAUUCUCCCUCUCUCACGUAUCUCUAGUAUAUCUCCCCUCCCCGUCUCUCUCUCUACGCCCCCCCCUCCUUCACGUCGAGAGAUCCCCGAAAAAGUAAAAUAAAAUAAGAUAAAGAAGUGAAAUAGAGAUCGUUUGAGAGGUAACCAAAGUCUCGUCGGUGUCUCUGUGAAUGUGUCAGUGUUAGUGUCGAGAAGAACAACAAACAACAAAACAAAGAGACAACAACAACAACCACCACUACUACAACCCCCGUCGUACGUAUCACAAGGAAGAGGAAUUUAGACGGACACGCGGACGGAAACAGACGGGAAUAACAAGGAGGACAGAACAGAGGAAUUUAAAAGAACCUGACCACCACAACAAUUACCACUACUACCACUACUACCACCACCACCACCACCAUGACCAGCACACCGCCCCUCAGCAAGUUGCGUCUCUCCAGCUUCCUCUCACAGAGCUUCGAAGCCGCAGCCCAAACGGUUGAGAUAUGCAAAGGUUUUCAAAACUGCAGAGUUCCAUGUUGGCAAUGGUAA
Molecule: long non-coding RNA, 1338 nt
Organism: Homarus americanus (American lobster)
Lineage: Eukaryota; Metazoa; Arthropoda; Malacostraca; Decapoda; Nephropidae
Exons: 3
Source: RefSeq, a predicted model, not a curated record